AAAAAAAAAAGAGAAAAUAUUUACUAUUCUGAGAAGCUCGGGCCUGCCCUCGUAACAUUGUUCAUUUAGGCUCCGUAAGAACAAGAACGAGGUCUAUGGAGUCUACGACGUCGGUUCAAUUCAGAGACAUUCAAGCGACACUGUUCUUCCGUGUGGUGAUGAAUUAUUCUUCUAUAUUGUUGUUUUUUUUUUUGGGAAAAAAAAAAAGAACUUUCUGCAUAUUUCCUCCCUAGGAUCGCAGUGGAGACUCGGGCGAACAAUCGUCCAGGGUUUACUCACAAAUUUCAAAAUCCCCUUGAAACCCUAGGUUUUACGUAAAAAUGGGAGGCAAAUGUCCGAGCAGGAAAGCGAAGAAGAGAAAUUAUUCUCAUAAGACUGCUUGCAGCUUCAGAUUCCUCAUCAAAGAUUUUAAUGAAAUUAUAUUAAUUGAAUCCUUUCUCUCUCUUCGUGAUUAAUCCAAAUUUUCCUCAAUUUCCUGCUCUUGUUUUCACAAUGUUGCUAAGGAGAAAGCCUUUUGCAUUUCUAUGUGUGUCUGAAACUGUGAUGACUUGACUGGUAUUGCUUUGCUCACGAGGCGAUGCUGUUUGUGAGGAGCUGCAAAAGCCUGAGAUGGAGAAGACUUUAUCCCUAAAUGAGGAUUUGCCUGGCAUGGGCCAAUAUUAUUGUUUGCAUUGCGAGUGAGUUAAUUUGAAUUGAUGCUUUAACUAUUUACUUAAAAAUUCAUCCGAGGAGAAGAGGUUUUUGUUAGGCUGCUUUAUUUCAAGUAGAAUUCAUUUUUCAAAUUUUACUUGGCUGCUUCUGUUGGGUUGUUGUUGCAUAAUUGGUUAAUUUAGUCUUUCGUUGUAGCCGAUACUUUGCAAUGUCUGUCACAGUGAGGGACGAGCAUUUGAAGAUCAAACGUCACAAGAAGCCUUAAGCUGCUUUUUAUUCAUCUAGUUCCUGUUCUGUGUAGGAAUAUUUGGUGUGAAGCAAAUGAUGGGACCUGCACCACACGCAACUUGAUGCUGAAUUAUCUGCUGGGAUGGGUAUGCCAGAUAAUGUCCAUGUGAGCUUUCUAUCUUUUUUUUCUUAGUAUAUAUUUUCAGGUGAUACCAACUCGAAACUGGCCUGGUUGAAGGAUACUUGAUGAUGUGUAUUUUCUUCAUGUUCAAUCCAUUCACUUGCGAAGAUAUUGGAGUUUGUGGCUAUGAAUUUUCCCCCCCUUCUGUCAACUGUGUAUCAUAAACUCUUGUAAACAUACUGCCAAAAAUGUAAUCGAUAUCCUAACAUCCAUUUUGGAAUGAAUGCAUCUUUCUCUGCCA
Molecule: long non-coding RNA, 1301 nt
Organism: Manihot esculenta (cassava)
Lineage: Eukaryota; Viridiplantae; Streptophyta; Magnoliopsida; Malpighiales; Euphorbiaceae
Exons: 2
Source: RefSeq, a predicted model, not a curated record